GACGAACGCUGGCGGCGUGCUUAACACAUGCAAGUCGAACGGAAAGGCCCUGCUUUUGUGGGGUGCUCGAGUGGCGAACGGGUGAGUAACACGUGAGUAACCUGCCCUUGACUUUGGGAUAACUUCAGGAAACUGGGGCUAAUACCGGAUAGGAGCUCCUGCUGAAUGGUGGGGGUUGGAAAGUUUCGGCGGUUGGGGAUGGACUCGCGGCUUAUCAGCUUGUUGGUGGGGUAGUGGCUUACCAAGGCUUUGACGGGUAGCCGGCCUGAGAGGGUGACCGGCCACAUUGGGACUGAGAUACGGCCCAGACGUCGACGUGAGGCAGCAGUGGGGAAUAGUGCGAAAUGGGCGGAAGCCUGAUGCAGCAACGCCGCGUGCGGGAUGACGGCCUUCGGGUUGUAAACCGCUUUCGCCUCUUACGAAGCGUGAGUGACGGUAAUGGGUAAAGAAGCACCGGCUAACUACGUG
RNAcentral lists this ribosomal RNA (468 nucleotides) under uncultured bacterium. RNAcentral describes it as "partial 16S ribosomal RNA". It matches the Rfam family "Bacterial small subunit ribosomal RNA", at positions 28 to 507 of the family's 1533-position model. The record is from RNAcentral.